RNAcentral lists this non-coding RNA (939 nucleotides) under Scolopsis bilineata (two-lined monocle bream). RNAcentral describes it as "partial 12S rRNA". It matches the Rfam family "Bacterial small subunit ribosomal RNA". Lineage: Eukaryota; Metazoa; Chordata; Actinopteri; Spariformes; Nemipteridae. The record is from RNAcentral.
AACCCCGUGAGGAUGCCCUAUGCUAUCCCGCCUAGGAAGCACAGGAGCUGGUAUCAGGCUCACCCCGCGUGCACAUAAUUUAUGCACGCUUCACGCCCACGACACCUUGCUUUGCCACACCCCCAAGGGAACUCAGCAGUAAUAAACCUUGAGCCAUGAGUGCAAGCUUGACUCAGUUAAAGUUAAGAGGGUUGGUUAAUCUCGUGCCAGCCGCCGCGGUUAUACGGGAAACCCAAGGUGAUGGUCAUCGGCGUAAAGCGUGGUUAGAAUAUUUUCACCUAAACUAAAGCCGAAAGCCUUCAUAGCAGUCGUACGCUUCCGAAAGUAAGAAGCCCAAUCACGAAAGUAGCUUUAUGAAAUUUUGACUCCACGAAAACUGGGGCACAAACUGGGAUUAGAGACCCCACUAUGCCCAGCCUUCAACAAAAACGGCCCACUACAUUUGUCCGUUCGCCUGGUUACUACGAGCUCAACAGUGUCUAAGCUUAAAACCCAAAGGACUUGGCGGUGCUUCAGAACCCCCUAGAGGAGCCUGUUCUAUAACCGAUAAUCCCCGUUAAACCUCACCCUUUCUUGUUCAUUCCAGCCUAUAUACCGCCGUCGCCAGCUUACCCCUUGAGGGAUAACGAAUGUAAGCUCAAUCGGUGCAAUCUGCCCCAUAAGUCAGGUCGAGGUGUAGCGUAAGAAAGGGGAAGAAAUGGGCUACAUUCCCUAUGUCAGUGAAUACGGAAGAUCAACCCUGAAACAAGGUAUCCGAAGGUGGAUUUAGCAGUAAGCAGGGAAUAGAGCGCCCUACUGAAGCCGGCAAUGGAGCGUGCACACACCGCCCGUCACUCUCUCCGAGCACCUUCGCCAUGAAUUUUUAUAAACCAUUAGAUAUGCACAGGAGAGGCAAGUCGUAACAUGGUAAGCGUACUAGAAAGUGCGCUUGGCUAAAUU